AUAAACCUAUUAAAAUUUCUCUGGAAUAUCAAAGAAACUAAUGGGUGGGUGAAAAAUAAAUAAGAGGAACCUAAGGUUGAGUUCCACAUGCAGUUUAAUGCCCAGACUCUCUCAACACUGUGACAUAUAACCGUGAACAUACCUCGCUCCUAUUUCAUAUCGAUUUUUUCGACCGGCUUUCCAGUCUCGACGUGACGUCACGCGUCGUAUCCCGAUCGCUCCCCUGAGCGCGUGGUCCCGGUCGCGAGCACAUGGAAGUGAGGUCGAGGUCUGUGUGCGAGAGACGCGCGACUGAUGGUCAGAAAAACGGAAUAUAAACACAAAAAAAGCGGCGACGGGAUCGAGCCGGACAGUCCGGCUGCUGCCGCUGCUGCUACUGCUGCUACUGCUGGUGGAGGUGGUGGUGGUGGAGGUGGAGGUGGAUUGUGCAGACCCUCACGCAAGGCGCCGGGCGACUAAAGAUACCGAGUGCAAAAGGAUGCAAAGGUGGAAGCAGUCGGUGCUGGAUUCAGUUUCAGUGCAUCUUCAGCGCACACACACACAUUGCCGUAGUCACACGUACGCGCAGCAUGGUUUUUUAAUAGUAUCUACUUCCCCCUUUGUGUCGUUAGAGGACACAGAUACACCCUGACUGGGCCCCUGUGGUGCUCUACAUUGUGGUUGGGAAGUACCUAGUGUUACAACUGUCAUGCGGGCCUGCUUAAAGGGGCGGCGCUUAUCACUAGCAGCUUUUCAGUCACCUUAGGAAGGGGUCACUUACUGUAAAUUAGAAGCUGUGAUCCUAAAGAGUAAAAAAGCAGCCCGUCUGCGCGCUCUCAUGCGAUGCGAACGGAUCUGAAGGACACUCAUUUGUCACAUCGCGCAUUCGUACGUAACGCCUCUGCGCUAAAUCUCCCUUUUGCGGUUGUUCUGAUGUUCAGCUUGAUGCUGAAAAGGUGAUAAAUGCACUGGCCCUGGAGGAUGUAGUAUCUGGUCAGUCAGCGUUUUGGAUUGAGACGUGUCCGUACGACACAAUACAACUCAAAAAUCCUUUCGAACCACGGCCUCUGGAAUGAAAACACGCUCGAAUCAACGUUGCUCUCUAGUUUUGUUUUGUUUUGUUAAUAAAUUCUGAAUUUCAUAACCUUCAUGAAUCUAAGAUGUAGUGCGGGACUGUUGAAUGCAUCGAUUUUCACCAGCGUACCUAACGAGCUGGGAAGCGAGUGCACGUUUAAAUCCAUUAAACUCUUUCCGUGCUCUUGAGAAAUACACUGUAAGUAAGUAUUUUAGGCUUGAAUACAUCUCAAAGUUACCAUGUCUCCAAACCACCAUUCAGGCAAAUGGGAGGGAAAUGUGUGUUGUUUUUUCUUGCUUCAUGUUCUCAUGCGUUUUUAGGCCUUUAAUGACCCUUCAGUGUUGAAUGAUUUGAAAAUAAAUGUGUCGCCCUGGCAGCAUGUUUACGGA
Molecule: long non-coding RNA, 1443 nt
Organism: Mugil cephalus (flathead mullet)
Lineage: Eukaryota; Metazoa; Chordata; Actinopteri; Mugiliformes; Mugilidae
Exons: 2
Source: RefSeq, a predicted model, not a curated record